RNAcentral lists this ribosomal RNA (267 nucleotides) under uncultured bacterium. Its description in RNAcentral is "partial 16S ribosomal RNA". It matches the Rfam family "Bacterial small subunit ribosomal RNA", at positions 793 to 1055 of the family's 1533-position model. The record is from RNAcentral.
GUCCUGGCUGUAAACGGUGCACGUUUGCUGUAAAAGGAAUCGACCCCUUUUGUGGCGAAGCUAACGCGAUAAACGUGCCGCCUGGGAAGUACGGUCGCAAGAUUAAAACUCAAAGAAAUUGACGGGGGCCUGCACAAGCGGUGGAGUAUGUGGCUUAAUUCGAUGCAACGCGAAGAACCUUACCUGGCCUUGACAUGCAAGUGGUAGGACCAUGAAAGUGGGACGACCCCGCAAGGGGAGCUUGCACAGGUGCUGCAUGGCUGUCGU